AUUUAUAUAAUAUAAAAAUUAUAAUUGACUUCCAAUCAAUAAAUCUAUGCAAUAGUAUAAAUA
Molecule: transfer RNA, 63 nt
Filed under: Chabria nr. angulicollis REN-2018
Lineage: Eukaryota; Metazoa; Arthropoda; Insecta; Coleoptera; Chrysomelidae
Description: tRNA-Gly
Source: RNAcentral